This 405-nucleotide ribosomal RNA is filed under the name uncultured bacterium. RNAcentral's name for it is "bacterial SSU rRNA". It matches the Rfam family "Bacterial small subunit ribosomal RNA", at positions 355 to 774 of the family's 1533-position model. The record is from RNAcentral.
UGGGGGAUAUUGCGCAAUGGGGGAAACCCCGACGCAGCAACGCCGCGUGAAGGAAGAAGGUUUUCGGAUUGUAAACUUCUUUUGUCAGGGACGAAACAAAUGACGGUACCUGACGAAUAAGCUCCGGCUAACUACGUGCCAGCAGCCGCGGUAAUACGGGGGGUGCAAGCGUUGUCCGGAAUCAUUGGGCGUAAAGCGUUCGUAGGCGGUAUGUCAAGUCUGGUGUUAAAGCCCGAGGCUCAACCUCGGUUCGGCAUUGGAUGCUGGCAAACUAGAAUGUGGUAGAGGUAAAGGGAAUUCCUGGUGUAGCGGUGAAAUGCGUAGAUAUCAGGAGGAACAUCGGUGGCGAAAGCGCUUUACUGGACCAUUAUUGACGCUGAGGAACGAAAGCCAGGGGAGCAAAUG